Callithrix jacchus (white-tufted-ear marmoset) is the source of this 851-nucleotide non-coding RNA. Lineage: Eukaryota; Metazoa; Chordata; Mammalia; Primates; Cebidae. The record is from RefSeq and is a predicted model, not a curated record.
AAAUGUGCUGCACCAAUAGGUCUCCCCAUCUUGGACAAGGGGUUCAGUAUAUGUGUUGGCACACACUUUCAAUGUUAUGGCAAUCAGUUUAAAAUAUUUUCUAAGCCUUCACACUUUCUGUUUGUACAGGAUCUCAGUUUCAGCUACGGGUGAAACACAAGAACUUUCUAACAUUUUUCUUUGGUAUGCACACCAUUUUGCAAUAUGCAUACAGUUCCAGAUUCCCAGGAAUAUAUCAAAGCUCUUGAAAGUCCUUUACAGGCUACUCAUGUCCCAGAUUUUUCUUCUAUGGUUUUUGUUCUCCUUCUUUGCCCAAACUAUCAACACUUUCUUGGGCAUCUGCAAUUUAAACAAUUGCUGCUCAUGGUUUUGAGCAAAUGCCUCAGAAAAGUAUUAUUCAUGCUGAGUGAACUCUGAGUCAGGUCAUAUAUUUUUUUUAAAUGUCCUUUUCAGGUAACUGACAGGUUAAAUAGUAACAAUUUUCUGAAGGUGGAACUUUUGUGAAACUGUAAAUCAAAUUCAUUCUGUUUCCUCUAAGAAUUGCUAGGCCAAUACUUUUUACAGCUACUGUGAUUUCAAGGUUGUUGGUUUUCAGUGCUACUGCAAAGCUAAGCAGAAAGAAAUUUGAAUAUGGGGCAAGAAAUAUUUCCACAGAAGAUUAAUCAGUUAAUCUCCUCAAGUCCAUGGGGACUUCAGCUCAAAAUACUCCAAGUUUGCUUUUCUAUGCAUUAUUUUAUUUCUUAAUGACACAAGAGAUGUGCUGUGUUCUCUUUGGAAACUGCUCAGUCAUUUUCUUACUCUGAUUUCUUUCUCCCUCUCUUGUUGAAAAAAAAAAUACAUUAAAAAGUCAA